UACGUAGGGGGCAAGCGUUGUCCGGAUUUAUUGGGCGUAAAGAGCGUGUAGGCGGCCAAGCAGGUCCGCUGUGAAAACUCGAGGCUCAACCUCGAGACGUCGGUGGAAGCCGUUUGGCUAGAGUCCGGAAGAGGAGAGUGGAAUUCCCGGUGUAGCGGUGAAGUGCGCAGAUAUCGGGAAGAACACCAGUGGCGAAGGCGGACUUACUGGUCCGGAACUGACGCUGAGGUG
Molecule: ribosomal RNA, 231 nt
Filed under: uncultured bacterium
Lineage: Bacteria
Description: partial 16S ribosomal RNA
Rfam family: Bacterial small subunit ribosomal RNA
Source: RNAcentral